AGUGCAGCUGUUUUGGAGCAAGGUCAGGGUGGCAGUCUGCAUGUGGCAGCUGGUCCUCAACUGCAUGCUCAUCCAGCUUCAGGACUGAGGGAUACAGAGGAUGAAACACCAGGCAGGACCAGUCCGCUUGGAUGGAUUCAUCUGACUUGUUGCAGCACACUGAAUUUGCACUUUUGGGUUUAUUUUCAACCGUGGGGAAGGCCUUGUCUGCUGGAAGUAAAACUCAUCCAUGUGUGCUUGGGGUCCUCAUCUGGCUUGAGAUGGCUCUAAGAUGCAGAUGUGUUGCAGAGUCUUUCA
Molecule: non-coding RNA, 297 nt
Organism: Sturnus vulgaris (Common starling)
Lineage: Eukaryota; Metazoa; Chordata; Aves; Passeriformes; Sturnidae
Source: RefSeq, a predicted model, not a curated record